UUUUGUAUGAAGCAACAUGCUUCGAAACUUCGACACACUAACACAACUCAAUAUACUUGGUGAUUCGACACUUCUUUGUUCUGUCGAGCAACCUGCUUCGACACAAAGAAUUACAAUUCAACAAAUAUAUGACUUAUUCAUGAAAUUUCAACUUCUUCUUUUAAAGGUGAAUAAAUCGGAUAUCGCAAAUUUAAAUUCAAA
This 201-nucleotide long non-coding RNA is filed under the name Lathyrus oleraceus (garden pea). Its description in RNAcentral is "Pisum sativum (pea) long non-coding RNA (PSAT_LNC032463)". The record is from RNAcentral. Lineage: Eukaryota; Viridiplantae; Streptophyta; Magnoliopsida; Fabales; Fabaceae.